AAGCCAAAGCCAAAGCCGAAACAAGCCGCUGCCCAGUUGCUGCCACUUCGAUAGAAUGUUGCAGUUGACAUUGGCUAAGCGGCUUAAUUUGAGUGGAAUUGGCCAAUUGAUUGAACGGAUUUCCCUAAAAGAUGCUAAAUUGUGCAUAAAAUGCAAUUUAUAAAAUAUACUUAUAAUGAAAUAUUCCAAUCGAUCAAAGUCGCUAUAAUGCUGGAAAAUAAGCUUAAGGUCCUCCUGGUGCCGGCGCAGUAAGAGUUGUUUCCGACAAUCGAUAACUUGGCUCGUUUCCAAGUAAUGUUUUUUGAGCAAAUCUCCCUCCUCCCCGCUACCACCACAUGGCUAUAAAUCAA
Molecule: long non-coding RNA, 350 nt
Organism: Drosophila montana
Lineage: Eukaryota; Metazoa; Arthropoda; Insecta; Diptera; Drosophilidae
Exons: 3
Source: RefSeq, a predicted model, not a curated record